Long non-coding RNA from Pseudomyrmex gracilis, 206 nucleotides. RefSeq lists it as uncharacterized. The transcript has 3 exons. The record is from RefSeq and is a predicted model, not a curated record. NCBI's taxonomy places the organism in Eukaryota, Metazoa, Arthropoda, Insecta, Hymenoptera, Formicidae.
CUACACUACAUUACAAUAUUUUUAAAUCAAUUGAUACGCUUGCCACAAAAUAUAGUUGGUAUGGAAAAAAAGGAAAAAAGGCCUUCAUGGAACUAUUGACAUCAAAGUUGAUUAUAAAAACUGUACAUAUGAUUCAGACACAAUGUACUGACACACAAAUAACAGAAGCUGCCUCAAUAUGGCUUGCUCAAGCACCAACAGAUUUG